GACGUAGGGCGCGAGCGUUGUCCGGAUUUAUCGGGCGUAAAGAGCUCGUAGGCGGCUUGUCGCGUCGACUGUGAAAACCCACGGCUUAACUGUGGGCUUGCAGUCGAUACGGGCAGGCUAGAGUUCGGUAGGGGAGACUGGAAUUCCUGGUGUAGCGGUGAAAUGCGCAGAUAUCAGGAGGAACACCGGUGGCGAAGGCGGGUCUCUGGGCCGAUACUGACGCUGAGGAGCGAAAGCGUGGGGAGCGAACAGG
RNAcentral lists this ribosomal RNA (253 nucleotides) under uncultured bacterium. RNAcentral describes it as "partial 16S ribosomal RNA". It matches the Rfam family "Bacterial small subunit ribosomal RNA", at positions 524 to 776 of the family's 1533-position model. The record is from RNAcentral.